CCUACGGGCGGCAGCAGUGAGGAAUAUUGGGCAAUGGGGGCAACCCUGACCCAGCCAUGCCGCGUGAGUGAAGAAGGUCUUCGGAUUGUAAAGCUCUUUCGGACGUGACGAAAAUGACGGUACCGUCUAAAGAAGCACCGUCAAACUUCGUGCCAGCAGCCGCGGUAAUACGAAGGGUGCGAGCGUUGUUCGGAUUUACUGGGCGUAAAGGGAGUGUAGGCGGAUAUGUAAGAUAGCUGUGAAAUGCCGGGGCUCAACCCCGGAACUGCAAUUGUGACUGUGUAUCUAGAGUACUGGAGAGGAUAGCGGAAUACCUAGUGUAGAGGUGAAAUUCGUAGAUAUUAGGUAGAACACCGGUGGCGAAGGCGGCUAUCUGGACAUUUACUGACGCUGAGGCUCGAAAGCGUGGGGAUCAAACAGGAUUAGAUACCCGAGUAGUC
Molecule: ribosomal RNA, 440 nt
Filed under: uncultured bacterium
Lineage: Bacteria
Description: partial 16S ribosomal RNA
Rfam family: Bacterial small subunit ribosomal RNA
Source: RNAcentral